Mesocricetus auratus (golden hamster) is the source of this 79-nucleotide small nucleolar RNA. Its record names the gene SNORD115. It matches the Rfam family "Small nucleolar RNA SNORD115". From Rfam's summary of the family: HBII-52 is a member of the C/D class of snoRNAs, which contain the C (UGAUGA) and D (CUGA) box motifs. HBII-52 is encoded in a tandemly repeated array with another C/D snoRNA, HBII-85, in the Prader-Willi syndrome (PWS) region of chromosome 15. HBII-52 is exclusively expressed in the brain but is absent in PWS patients. Lineage: Eukaryota; Metazoa; Chordata; Mammalia; Rodentia; Cricetidae. The record is from Ensembl.
GGGUCUAUGAUGACAUAACAAUGUCAUGCAGAUCGAUAAACACAUAAAAAUCAUUUUCAAUAGGAUUAUGAUGAGACCC